Molecule: ribosomal RNA, 542 nt
Filed under: Klebsiella pneumoniae
Lineage: Bacteria; Pseudomonadati; Pseudomonadota; Gammaproteobacteria; Enterobacterales; Enterobacteriaceae
Also listed under: 1 other name
Description: partial 23S ribosomal RNA
Rfam family: Bacterial large subunit ribosomal RNA
Source: RNAcentral
UGUGAACUCGAAGAGUAGGGCGGGACACGUGGUAUCCUGUCUGAAUAUGGGGGGACCAUCCUCCAAGGCUAAAUACUCCUGACUGACCGAUAGUGAACCAGUACCGUGAGGGAAAGGCGAAAAGAACCCCGGCGAGGGGAGUGAAAAAGAACCUGAAACCGUGUACGUACAAGCAGUGGGAGCACCUUCGGGUGUGACUGCGUACCUUUUGUAUAAUGGGUCAGCGACUUAUAUUCUGUAGCAAGGUUAACCGUAUAGGGGAGCCGCAGGGAAACCGAGUCUUAACUGGGCGUUAAGUUGCAGGGUAUAGACCCGAAACCCGGUGAUCUAGCCAUGGGCAGGUUGAAGGUUGGGUAACACUAACUGGAGGACCGAACCGACUAAUGUUGAAAAAUUAGCGGAUGACUUGUGGCUGGGGGUGAAAGGCCAAUCAAACCGGGAGAUAGCUGGUUCUCCCCGAAAGCUAUUUAGGUAGCGCCUCGUGAACUCAUCUUCGGGGGUAGAGCACUGUUUCGGCUAGGGGGUCAUCCCGACUUACCAAC